Molecule: ribosomal RNA, 449 nt
Filed under: uncultured bacterium
Lineage: Bacteria
Description: bacterial SSU rRNA
Rfam family: Bacterial small subunit ribosomal RNA
Source: RNAcentral
AACGAACGCUGGCGGCAUGCCUAACACAUGCAAGUCGAACGAAGCCUUCGGGCUUAGUGGCGCACGGGUGCGUAACGCGUGGGAAUCUGCCCUUGGGUUCGGAAUAACAGUUAGAAAUGACUGCUAAUACCGAAUGAUGUCUUCGGACCAAAGAUUUAUCGCCCAAGGAUGAGCCCGCGUCGGAUUAGCUGGUUGGUGAGGUAAAGGCUCACCAAGGCGACGAUCCGUAGCUGGUCUGAGAGGAUGAUCAGCCACACUGGGACUGAGACACGGCCCAGACUCCUACGGGAGGCAGCAGUGGGGAAUAUUGGACAAUGGCGAAAGCCUGAUCCAGCAAUGCCGCGUGAGUGAUGAAGGCCUUAGGGUUGUAAAGCUCUUUUACCCGGGAUGAUAAUGACAGUACCGGGAGAAUAAGCCCCGGCUAACUCCGUGCCAGCAGCCGCGGUAAU